GAUGAACGCUGGCUACAGGCUUAACACAUGCAAGUCGAGGGGAAACGACGGGGAAGCUUGCCUCCCCGGGCGUCGACCGGCGCACGGGUGAGUAACGCGUAUCCAACCUGCCUCUGACUGAGGGAUAACCCGUCGAAAGUCGGCCUAAUACCUCAUGGUAUCGUCUGCGGGCAUCCAACGACGAUUAAAGAUUUCAUCGGUCAGGGAUGGGGAUGCGUCUGAUUAGCUUGUUGGCGGGGUAACGGCCCACCAAGGCUACGAUCAGUAGGGGUUCUGAGAGGAAGGUCCCCCACAUUGGAACUGAGACACGGUCCAAACUCCUACGGGAGGCAGCAGUGAGGAAUAUUGGUCAAUGGGCGAGAGCCUGAACCAGCCAAGUAGCGUGCAGGAAGACGGCCCUAUGGGUUGUAAACUGCUUUUAUGCGGGGAUAAAGUGAGGGACGUGUCCCUCAUUGCAGGUACCGCAUGAAUAAGGACCGGCUAAUUCCGUG
Molecule: ribosomal RNA, 491 nt
Filed under: uncultured bacterium
Lineage: Bacteria
Description: partial 16S ribosomal RNA
Rfam family: Bacterial small subunit ribosomal RNA
Source: RNAcentral